AUACGUAGGGGGCGAGCGUUGUCCGGAUUUAUUGGGCGUAAAGGGUGCGUAGGCGGCCUUGUAAGUCAGAUGUGAAAGAUCAUGGCUUAACUGUGGUAAGCAUUUGAAACUGCAGGGCUUGAGUACAGGAGAGGAGAGUGGAAUUCCUCGUGUAGCGGUGAAAUGCGUAGAUAUUAGGAGGAAUACCAGUGGCGAAGGCGACUCUCUGGACUGAUACUGACGCUGAGGCACGAAAGCGUGGGGAGCAAACAGGAUUAGAUACCCUGGUAGUCCACGCUAUAAACGAUGAGUGCUAGGUGUCGGGGGUCAAACCUCGGUGCCGCAGUUAACACAUUAAGCACUCCGCCUGGGGAGUACGGCCGCAAGGCUGAAACUCAAAGGAAUUGACGGGG
This 392-nucleotide ribosomal RNA is filed under the name uncultured bacterium. Its description in RNAcentral is "partial 16S ribosomal RNA". It matches the Rfam family "Bacterial small subunit ribosomal RNA", at positions 523 to 918 of the family's 1533-position model. The record is from RNAcentral.